RNAcentral lists this transfer RNA (91 nucleotides) under Pseudomonas syringae pv. actinidiae. Its description in RNAcentral is "tRNA-Ser". It matches the Rfam family "tRNA". From Rfam's summary of the family: Transfer RNA (tRNA) molecules are approximately 80 nucleotides in length. The record is from RNAcentral. Lineage: Bacteria; Pseudomonadati; Pseudomonadota; Gammaproteobacteria; Pseudomonadales; Pseudomonadaceae.
GGGAGGUUGGCAGAGUGGCCGAAUGCGCCGGUCUUGAAAACCGGAGAACGUUGAUAGCGUUCCAAGGGUUCGAAUCCCUUGCCUCCCGCCA